UGGCUUGGAAGCAGCCAUUCAUUUAAAGAGUGCGUAACAGCUCACUAGUCGAGGAGUCCGGCGUGGAUAAUACUCGGGCAUAAACUGUUUACCGAAGCUAUGGAUGUAGAAAUACAUGGUAGGGGAGCAUUCCAACGGCGUCGAAGGUGAAGGAUGACCUUUGCUGGAGCUUUUGGAAACGCAAAUGUAGGUAUAAGUAACGAUAAAGGAGGUGAGAAACCUCCUCGCCGAAAGACUAAGGUUUCCUGAUCAACGUUAAUCGGAUCAGGGUAAGUCGGGACCUAAGGUUAAGCCGAACGGCGAUACCGAUGGAAGAAUGGUUUAAUAUUCCCAUACUACUUUAUGGAGCGAUGUGGAGACGGAGAAGUGAAAGUCCUGCCAUCUGACGGAAUAGGUGGUUGAAGAGUGUAGAUGUAGAUUCCUGUAGGCAAAUCCGCAGGGAGAGUCGACCUUGAUAGUAUGCCGCGUGCUUGCACAAGGCAAAAUGGACGUAAUCAGGCUCCCAAGAAAAUCCGCUAAGCAUAUUCAUAAAGUACCCGUACCGUAAACGGACACACGUAGUUGGGUUGAAAAUACUGAGGCGCUCGAGUGAUUCACGGUUAAGGAACUAGGCAAAUUGACCCUGUAACUUCGGGAUAAAGGGUCCCUACUGAGAGGUAGGGCGCAGAGAAUAGGUCCAGGCAACUGUUUAACAAAAACACAUGGCUGUGCGAAAUAGAAAUAUGAAGUAUACAGCCUGACACCUGCCCGGUGCUGGAAGGUUAAGAGGAGAGCUCAUCGCAAGAGAAGGCUUGAAUUGAAGCCCCAGUAAACGGCGGCCGUAACUAUAACGGUCCUAAGGUAGCGAAAUUCCUUGUCGGGUAAGUUCCGACCUGCACGAAUGGUGUAAUGAUCUGGACACUGUCUCAACCGUGAGCUCGGUGAAAUUGUAGUAUCGGUGAAGAUGCCGAUUACCCGCGAUGGGACGAAAAGACCCCGUGAACCUUUACUAUAGCUUUACAUUGAAUUUGGGCAAUCGAUGUGUAGGAUAGGCCGGAGACCGUGAAGCAGGUACGCCAGUAUUUGUGGAGUCGCCGUUGAAAUACGGCCCUUUGGUUGUUUGAGUUCUAACCCGCAGAAGCGGGGACACUGUAUGGUGGGUAGUUUGACUGGGGUGGUCGCCUCCAAAAGAGUAACGGAGGCUUCUAAAGGUACCCUCAGACCGAUUGGUAACCGGUCGUAGAGUGUAAUGGCAUAAGGGUGCUUGACUGGGAGACAGACAAGUCGAUCAGGUAGGAAACUAGAGCAUAGUGAUCCGGUGGUUCCGCAUGGAAGGGCCAUCGCUCAAAGGAUAAAAGGUACUCCGGGGAUAACAGGCUGAUCGCUCCCAAGAGCUCAUAUCGACGGAGCGGUUUGGCACCUCGAUGUCGGCUCGUCACAUCCUGGGGCUGGAGAAGGUCCCA
RNAcentral lists this ribosomal RNA (1442 nucleotides) under human gut metagenome. Its description in RNAcentral is "bacterial LSU rRNA". It matches the Rfam family "Bacterial large subunit ribosomal RNA", at positions 1102 to 2567 of the family's 2925-position model. The record is from RNAcentral.